This 465-nucleotide ribosomal RNA is filed under the name uncultured bacterium. RNAcentral describes it as "partial 16S ribosomal RNA". It matches the Rfam family "Bacterial small subunit ribosomal RNA", at positions 338 to 795 of the family's 1533-position model. The record is from RNAcentral.
CCUACGGGUGGCAGCAGUAGGGAAUCUUGGACAAUGGGCGAAAGCCUGAUCCAGCAACGCCGCGUGGGUGAAGAAGGUCUUCGGUACGUAAAACUCUGUUGAUAGGGAAGAAAAUGCGUGAGCGUAACUGAUCACGUUUCGACGGUAUCUAACCAGAAAGCCACGGCUAACUACGUGCGAGCAGCUGCUGCAAUACGUCGGUGGCAAGCGUUAUCCGGAUUUAUUGGGCGUAAAGGGAGCGCAGUCGGUAUGUCAAGUCUGAUGUGAAAGCCUGCGGCUUAACCGGAGUAGUGCAUUGGAAACUGGGAGACUUGAGUGCAGAAGAGGUGAGUGGAACUCGAGGUGUAGCGGUGAAAUGCGUAGAUAUCAGGAAGAACACCGGUGGCGAAGGCGGCUCACUGGACUGUAACUGACGCUGAGGUUCGAAAGCGUGGGUAGCAAACAGGAUUAGAUACCCGAGUAGUC